GGCGUGCACUGCUUGGCUGGGCCUUACUUCUUGGAGAGCCGGCGUGCCCUUUAAGGGGUGUGCGUCGGAGCACCGAGGACUUUUACCUUGAAAAAUUUAAAGUGUUCAAAGCAAGCUCUAUGCCUGAAUUACAUUCAGCGUAGGAAUAUAGAUAACGGACGUGGCGCUUCUAUUUUUGUUGGUGUCUAGAGUGGCCCUAAUGAUUAUAUGGACACUUGUGGGCAUAGGUAUUGAGUCGCUAGAGAUGAAAUCUUCGGAUGUACUCUAAGACCGAGUAUUAGUGAAAGCACAUGCCACAGGAUGUGUUCUCUAAUCACGAGCGAAGGUUAGGGGAUCGAAAACGAUCAGAGACCGUUGUAGUGUCUACACUGAACUAUGCCCAGUAGGGAGAGGAUGACCUCAAAAAUGAUGUGUCACUUGGCGCACUAUGAGAAAUCUAAGUCUCUGGGUUCUGGGGGGAGUAUAGUCUCACGACUGAAACUUAAAGGAAUUGACGGAAGGGCGCCCCCCGGUGUGGAGCGCGCGGCUUAAUUUGUCUCAACACGGGGAAACUCUCCAGGUCCAGACAUAACUAGGAUAGACAGAGAGAUAGCUCUUUCAUGAUAUUAUGGGUGGUGGUGCACGGCCGUUCUUAGUUGGUGGAGUGAUUUGUCUGGUUAAUUCUGAUAACGAACGAGACCCUAACACGCUAAAUAGCCACGCCGGGUUUGGGUGGUGUCUGGCUUUUUAGAGGGAGAGUCAG
Molecule: ribosomal RNA, 742 nt
Filed under: uncultured eukaryote
Lineage: Eukaryota
Description: bacterial SSU rRNA
Rfam family: Eukaryotic small subunit ribosomal RNA
Source: RNAcentral